GGACACGGAGCUCGUGCGCUUCCUUCCCCACCUCGGGAGCGGCGGUGGGGGGUAAAGCCGGCCCGGGCCUGGGAGGAGCCAGCUGCUGCCCCGCAGAACCGGCGGGAUGCUCUAGGCAGCGGCAGCUUCCUGCCCCCAGUAGCUGGGCUAGAGCGAGCUUCCAGGGGCAGAUCUGCCCUAGUUCAAAAAGCAGGUAUUUAAGCAGGGCAGCGGCCAGUGCUGCGGGAGCUCCGUUGAAAUCAGUCCUGGCUGGCGUUGUGUGCUCUGCUUUUCUUCCUAAAGCUCACACGGAUUCAGCACUGCUAGAGGAGCUGUGGUCAAUGAAAAAGGUUCCCAUUCUCACCUCGGGGUCGGGGGUGCUAUGCUGGGUGUCAUCAGCCACGAGAUCAUGUUGUCUCACUGCUGGACUUGUUGGGGAUAUGGGAGGAGCAGUAUGUGGCCUGCAUCCUUUCUGGGUGGGCUGGACCCAGCAGCUAGCCAGGACCUCCUCUCUGCAGUGCCACAAAGGGCAGUUUCUUCUGCUCUUGGCCAUUGCCAUGUAGACAGAAAGUGCGCCCAGCAGGUGAUGUGGACUCCAGUCCCACAACACACGAGCGACAUGCAGCUCUGCCUUUCCUUUGUCACAUACAGUCACUCAACUCCACCAACAUGGCCUCGUGUGCUUGGAUGAGAUCAGCUUGUGAAUGAAGAGCACCUGGCUGAAGCCAGGACCAGUACCAGCUGUCUACAAAGAUGCCAGCCACUACACAGGAGUUGUGGGACAGUCUGCCUUCUGGGAAGAUCUUGCCAACAUUCCUUGUGUUGAAAGGCCCAGAUUCCAAUGUGUGGGAAGUCACCAUCCAGCGCAAGGUGGCAAAAGCCUGCAGCAAGGCAGCAGCCCUGGACUUCAAGAGGGCGGAUUUCAAUGAGCCUUCUUCCAUCUUCACAGCCGUUGGGGCUGCAGCCUUCCUCCGCCUGCUCCACAGUUGAGGUCUUCUUGGAUCAUUCUUUGUCUGGGACCUCCCCCUCACCAUGGGUGGCCCUACCAUGAGUACGAGCUCCAGACGGCGUUGCUCUCAUGGUCACUGGAAGACGCAAGCCUCUCCACCGUGACUGCUGCUGUAUCAGCAAGGGUAAUUACUGAUGUUUGUACACAUCACGCUCAAAACAAGCUAGCUCCCUACAAACAAAUAUGAGCAGAGCAUGUAAAUCAGGGGUUUGCAACAUUUUUGGGCAGAAUGCCAACCUUCAACCUUGAUUUGUAGAUGUUGGCAUGUCAGGGGCAGAUAGUGGGGGAGCUGUGAGGGGCCCAAUCCUUGUUGUGGCAGCACAACUUCGGCUUCUUCCCUACUGUCCACCCCAAGGCUCACAGACAAAGCAAAAUGCCUUUGCAUGCCACAUUCUGGCACUUGUGCGGGGGGUUGCCUGCUCCUGAUGUAAAUGCACAGAGGUGUGGGGCUCAGCAGGAAAGGGACAGAAACCCCCUCUGCAAGGGAAACAGUCCAAAGGUGGCAGAAUCCAAUGAUGCUUUUUGGCCCUCUUGUGGCCACAUGGUGUAAAGUACUGCAAAAAUUUCCUUCACUAGUUGUCUCAGAAAGUUUUCUGGGGUGUAUGCCUCCUGCACUGGCUGCACACACCUUGUAUCAACUUGUCUGACUGGUCUGGCCCUGGUCUGGCCUGGUUUCUCAGUGACUGAAAGAGGGAAACAGGUUUGAUGCCGUACCUUUUCAACAAAGAUCAUUGUCCUCUAAGUGAAGCUGGACUGCACAAAGCAUCAGGGUAGUGGAUUGGAACUGCUAACCAGGACCCUCUUUAACUUUGCUCUUGAGAGACAAGAGACACUUGAGGUAGUCAUAGGGCUAGUAGCAUGCAGGAGAGGCUGGAGUGGACACUUUUGUGGUCCUGCCUUUUUGAUUUCAUGCCCAAGACAUGGCUGCCUGCACUUGCAGGGGACUGGACUCCCCAGGUUGAGGCGCUCCCUUCUAGAACUAUGUUCCUAAGGAGAAAUUAGCUGCCCCGACAGCCUAGUAUUUUCCAACUUUGGGAAAGGUUAAUACUUCUUAACAGUCAUGUGAGCAGCAUGGGCCAAUGGAUGGAGCUUUGGGCUGGGAAUCAGGAUAUCCGGGUUCCAGUCCCUGCCUUGUCUGUACGUAGCUAAUUAUCAGCAGGCAAUUGCAUUGCAGCUUCUGCUUCACACCUGUUGAAUGGGGAUGUUCUUGACUUUCCCUGGUUGUAAAACAUCAUGCAAGAAUGAGGCGCUUGCUGUGAUAUUUGUGUGAUAGAGCAAAGAGAGCACAGCACCAGUAAUAAAUUGUGUGAUUGGAGGCCACUCGCAUGCCAAACUGCUGAUUAAAAUGUGAUUGUUUUCUGCACUUCAGAGUCACAGUGGUUACUACAGCUCUGAUUGCAUUAUAUCACGUAACGUAACAUUUUCCUACCAGCCAGUAGGAGUGGGGCAAUCCCUAGCUCAAUUACAAAUGGCAUUAAUGAACAUUAUUUAGUGGCAUGGCAAGUGAGGAGCCCAACUGUGUGCACAGCCUGCCCAUCCCAGACUUCAUUCCUGUCAUUCCACCCACACCCAACAUUUGCUUGUUCCACUCUGCUGCAUCUUGUCUUUAACUCACAAAGUUUAGCUCACUAGUGUCUUUUUACUAUCUCUGACCAUGCCUGUUUGAUCCUACCAUGAUGCCAUUAAUAAAUAGCAGGGAUGGCUGGCAAAUGUGGGGUGUGUGAUGCAGAGGACUUCAAAAGGAAGAUUUAAAAAAAAGGAUUUCCUGGCAAUUUCCCCUUGUGCUGUUUUAAUGAAACAAAGAUGUUCAGUUCAAACUAAAAUGAAAAACUCCCAGUUUUUUUGUUUUCUGUUUUUUCCCCCCUCAUGCAAAUCUUCACACUCAAAAAGGAGGAGAAGGGGGUGUAGAAAACAAAUCCAGGAACUGAAAAUGUUUCAUUUAGAUUUAAAAAAAAAGUCAAACAUGACAAUCAUGGUAAAUGUUUGUAUAGUUGGAGAUGGCCCUUCCAAACAAUAUUCUUGCCAAGAGGAUUUUGACUUAGUCACAGCAAACUGUGCCACUAGCCAGCAGAGAGCUGCACUGCUGUGAAAAUGAUUGGCAGUCCUGACACACAGCAUGUUCUGAGAUAUCAAAUGCAUUUGUGCCCUGCUUCCACUUGCAAGCUAAAGCAAGGGAAAGGCAAGAGCAAGCAGUAGAAGCUGAAUGUCAAGCAACUGGAUCCUGAGAUGGCAGGGAGGGGGAGGGAGAAGGGGGUAUGUUUGUGUGCACACAUGUGCAUGUGUGUGGGGGGAUAUAUAUAUUUUCACACACACACAAUUAGAAAGUGAAGACCACACAUUUCUGACCUCCUCUUCCACUCCCCAUAUGUGUUUAUAUGAUUCUGCAAACAAGUGCCCCUCCAAGUGUAUACUUAUUAGAAGGAAUUACAAUCCUCACAUGGCUGGACCUGGUAGGACCAUGGCUCAUCCUGGCAGCAUCCCUGGGAAACGUCUCUUCAGAAAUGCAAGAUAAAAAAGGGACCAAGUGUUGCAGGGGCUCCUGAUUACCUUUCCGAUACAGAGAAUUCACAGCUGUAAAUGAGGUGUUGUAUCACAUUAGGCUGUAACACACAAUCAGAUCACCAUCCUUCCAAUAAAAGCCUUGUCAGUCUAAUGCCUCUUUCCUUUAAUCCCCAAGAUUGCUGAAGGAUGCUGCUUUCAUCUGAUAGCAUUUAUGGAUGUUAUAAUGAGCUUUGGCUUGCUGAGAUAAAUUAAAUUGCUCACCCAGAGGUGCAAACUUCAUUAAUGCCAGCGGUGAGUCAGAUCAGCAUUAUUCUAGCUCAGAAUGCCAACAGGCUGGACAUGUUAAAGGAGACUUAUUUGGGAUUUUUUUCUAUCUCUGAACCUUCCUAAUUGCUGUUGAUUUGUAUCUUCUACUCUGUGUUCAAACUCUGCUGCUACUCCACAUCCUAAUCUUCCAAGGGAAUCCAUCAAAUAACACAUUGUUCCAUGCUGAAUGAUUUAACUGCUGAAACCACAUUUUCAGCUAGAUCACAUCAAUCCACUAUAUUGGCCUUGUGAGUUUCUAGCUCUUUUGCACAAUAUUUGACAAGACACCAAGGAGAUAUUUAAAGAUAGAUCUGCUGAGAAAUAAAAAUGUGUGUCUUCCUAUUUCUGUCCAAGUGCAGGAGAGGGAAAGUAUGAAGCCACAGACUGAGAUAAAUGGUGCAGUGAAAAGCCUGGACUCAGUAAUAAUGCAAACACCAGGAAAAUACUGAAAGGAAGGGAAUAAACCCAGCAAAGUACUCAGGCUGUGUGUACUCAUAAGCUUGUGCCCAGUGCGGCAGCCUUCUGUGGAGCUGCAGAAGUGAUUCAAGACAAGUAUAUGUUUAAGUGCUUUGCUGGAUCAGGUCCUUUCUUCAUAAAGCAACACAAGGAGAUUUCUCUGCUUCCCUCAUUUUUUACCUUGCUUACUUUGGUGUGGCUCCCAAUAGGCCCCAGAGAAAUCCCUCUGUGCAGAAAGGACUGAUUUCUCUGCAUCCCUCAUUUUUCACUUUGCAUCUUAAAUUAGG
Molecule: long non-coding RNA, 4539 nt
Organism: Alligator mississippiensis (American alligator)
Lineage: Eukaryota; Metazoa; Chordata; Crocodylia; Alligatoridae
Exons: 4
Source: RefSeq, a predicted model, not a curated record